GAUGAACGCUGGCGGCGUGCCUAAUACAUGCCAGUCGAGCGAACAGACGAGGAGCUUGCUCCUUCGACGUUAGCGGCGGACGGGUGAGUAACACGUAGGUAACCUACCUAUAAGACUGGGAUAACUUCGGGAAACCGGAGCUAAUACCGGAUAAUAUUUCGAACCGCAUGGUUCGAUAGUGAAAGAUGGCUUUGCUAUCACUUAUAGAUGGACCUGCGCCGUAUUAGCUAGUUGGUAAGGUAACGGCUUACCAAGGCAACGAUACGUAGCCGACCUGAGAGGGUGAUCGGCCACACUGGAACUGAGACACGGUCCAGACUCCUACGGGAGGCAGCAGUAGGGAAUCUUCCGCAAUGGGCGAAAGCCUGACGGAGCAACGCCGCGUGAGUGAUGAAGGUCUUCGGAUCGUAAAACUCUGUUAUUAGGGAAGAACAAACGUGUAAGUAACUGUGCACGUCUUGGCGGUACCUAAUCAGAGAGCCACGGCUAACUACGUG
Molecule: ribosomal RNA, 497 nt
Filed under: uncultured bacterium
Lineage: Bacteria
Description: partial 16S ribosomal RNA
Rfam family: Bacterial small subunit ribosomal RNA
Source: RNAcentral